This 64-nucleotide transfer RNA is filed under the name Limosilactobacillus mucosae. Its description in RNAcentral is "Lactobacillus mucosae tRNA_Leu_CAG". It matches the Rfam family "tRNA". Rfam says of the family: Transfer RNA (tRNA) molecules are approximately 80 nucleotides in length. Their secondary structure includes four short double-helical elements and three loops (D, anti-codon, and T loops). The record is from RNAcentral. Lineage: Bacteria; Bacillati; Bacillota; Bacilli; Lactobacillales; Lactobacillaceae.
GCCAGUCUAGCUCAAAGGAAGAGCAGUUGCCAAACGAUGCAAGUUCGAUUCUUGCGACUGGGUU